UUAGCUGGGCGUGGUGGCACACACCUGUAAUCCCAGCUACUCAGGAGGUUGAGGCAAGAGAAUUGCGUAAACCUGGGAAGCAGAGAUUGAGGUGAGCCAAGAUCAGGCCACUGCACUCCAGCCUGGGUGACAGAGCAAGACUCUGUCUCAAAAAAAAGAAAGAAAGAGCUGAUCAUAGGGCACCCUCAGUCCAAACUGCUCCGGGUGGCUUUAUCCUCAAAGCAGUCAAGCUUCUGAGAUGACAAAGACCCUUCGACAGGCCAGUCAAUGUCCUUGGCUGCAGCUCUUCCCAGGCUCUCUUGAUUGGCAGCUUGUGAAGCAGAUGCCAAGCCUCGUUCAUGACGUUUCUCAGCAUCUAACACAGUGCCUGGUGCACGGAAGAUGAAUUUAACUGGCAAUGCAAAUGGUGUGCGUGAGCAGCACCCACAAGAACCUCUCUCCACAAAUAUCCAACAUCUAGAAAGCCUGAGGUUCCAACCCUGGUUCAUUCUUUGAAGAGGACUGGCUAUAUCAUUUGCAAAAUCCGGGGCAAAGUGAAAAUGCAGGUCCCACCCGGCACAGUGGCUCACGCCUGUUAUCCCAGCACUUUGGGAGGCUGAGGCGGGUGGAUAACGAGGUCAAGAGAUCAAGACCAUCCAGACCAACACAGUAAAAUCCCAUCUCUACUAAAAAUACAAAAAUUAGCUGGGUGUGGUGGCGUGCACCUGUAGUCCCAGCUACUCCGGAGGCUGAGGGAGGAGAAUCUCUUAAAACCAGGAGGCAGAGGCUGCAGUGAGCCGAGAUCGCACCACUGCACUCCAGCCUGGCAACAGCGAAACUGAAACUCCGUCUCAAAAAGAAAAGAAAAGAAAAUGCAGGUCCCUUGUGAAAAGGUGAAAAAUUUUAAAACAGUGACAACAGAGGAUUAAACCCAGCAUGGGGUGCCCUUCGGGGUGGGAAAAGGCGGGGGCCCUGUACAACCUCACAGGUCACAUGCCUCUGGAGCAGCCUGCCUUUAGGUCUCCUAUUAAAAUACUGCCCCUGCCCCCAUCUAGGGCACUCCCUGCAAUGUGGUUACACUCAGCUAAAGAGCAACAUUUCUCUUGUUAGGAAAAAGCUUCUGGAAAUCCUGGAAUCAGUGGGCAAAGCCUUGGCCAUUCUUCUAGACAAGUCAGCAAAGCUCUGAUUAAAAACAAAAAGAUCCCUAAGUAAAUUCUCCUUCAAGGUGAAUCUUUAAGUCACAAGCUUCUCGGCCUCCCAAGCUUUCCCUUUGUCCUGUUAAUCAGGCUUUUCUUUCUGUGACUGUUAUUUGUUUAAAGACAAGGUCUUGCUCUGUCAUCCAGGCUAGAGCAGUGGUUCCAUCAGGGCUCACUGCAGCCUCCAUCUCCCAGGCUGAAGCAGUCCUUCCACCUCAGCCUUGUGACCAUUUAUUAUUGAGCACCCACUACGUGCAUUGUAGUGGGGAGCACAGACAAUAAAUAAGGAGAUAAAUAUGCAGUAAAAUGUGAGAUGGUGCUAUGUGCUAGGUAGCAAAAAAAAAAAAAGGCAGGUAAGGAACUAGAAAGUGGGGGGAGGCACAGUGGUGAAGUGGUUGGGGAAGUCCUCCCUAAGGAGGGACCUCCAGAGCAGACACCUGAAUGAAGGAAGGGCAGGCCACACUGAGGUGGACAGUGUGUUCAGGGCUGAGGGAAGAUCAGGCACAAAGGCUUGGAAGCAGGCAUGUGACUGGCAAAGGCAGUUGGGGGCAGAUAGGGGUAGUGUAGGAGGAGAUGAGAUCAGAUAGGUGGGAAGGAACCAGAGCUGGCAGGAGCUUGUAGGAACCCAGAGCCGAUAGGGGCUUGUAGGAACCCAGAGCUGGCAGGGGCUUGUAGGGACCCAGAGCCAACAGGGGCUUGCAGGAACCCAGAGCCGGUAGGGGCUUGUAGGAACCCAGAGCCUGCAGGGGCUCGUAGGCUUGGAGGAGCUUGGAUCUGACACCAAUUGCCAGAGAGCAAGAGAUCCUUAGCAUGAUUGACAGCAGGCAGUCACUUCCCCUCCCAGAGGUGAUGCUCAAACUGUCUCUUUUCCUUGGCACACUGACUUGUGUUUUAGCAGUGCCUCCUGAGAGCCAGGAAGAUGCAGGGGACACAGGAAAUAAGAGGGUACUGGGUUCAAAGCUGUCUUCUGCUGUGACUGCUUUGGAACUUGGUCCAUUGCUUAUACUCUCUGAAUCUUAGACUCUUGUGCCCUGCAACUUUGUCAGGAGGGCUCAGGGACAUGACAUACCUUGUAGGUAGCCUGGCACACAGCAGGCACUCAGGCAGCAUUAGCCACAGCAAUCACCCCUUUUCCCUUCUCUAGAGGGCUCACUGUUGGGUGAAUCCCAGCAUCACUAGAGUUCCAGGUCUCCUCCCUCUUGGGGAACAAGUGUUUUGUCAUAGGCAUUGUCUUCACAUUUCCUUCCUGGAGUUCGAGGAAGGAAAGAGACUUAAGGUUUGUUCAGUGCCAGCCCCCUGCCCGACACCUGCUACACACGGGUCCACAUCAUCCCCAGCAAGCCCAGGGAGUGGACACAAUCAUCCUAUUUUGUGGGCGAGGAAGCUGAGGCUCAGAGGAACUAAGGGAUGUAUGCCACAGCUCAUAGGUGGCAGUGCCAGCGUUCCAAUCCAGGCAGGGCUGCAAUCAGUCUGCAAUCAGCCAGAGGCCAGCUGACCUUAGAAACCUAAGGGUCAGUGCGUAUACCCUGGGCCCCAAUGCUGGGGUCUGAAUCCUGCCUGUGCUUCUUCUAGAAAAGUUACUAGGACAAGCGUCCAACAUGCCUGUUUCCCCAUCUGUAAAAGGAAAAGAAUAACAGUCCCUGUCUUACAUAGUGGUUGUGGGAAUGAAAUAAGAUUACUCAUACAUGUACCUAGAACAGUCCCCAGCACACAGUAAUUGCUCAAAUAACCUUAACUAUCAUAUUAUCCGAAAGUUGUGACCCGGCGUUUUCUUAGUAAUGCUUUCUGAAUCAGACCCUCCAAGCCUACCUUUCCUUAGGCUACCCAGAGGCAAGGAGCUGGGUGCCCCAUCUGUGGCAGAUUGUCCUUUCACGGAGGAGCAUGGCAGCACAUCUCCCUCUCAUGCUCUUCUACACUCUGCAUUCCCCCUUCAAGAGGUGGAGUCUUAUUUCCCUCCUUCUUGGACCUGGGGCCCAAAGUCAUGUUCCAUUCUGAUCAUGGAUUGGAAAAGGCCAUUCAGCUUCCACUUGCUUCUUUUGGGAUCCUUGCUCUGGGGAAGUCAGCUGCCUCCUAAGAAGUCCAAGAGCCCUGGGACUGUCAUCAUGGAGACCAGGAACAGAAGCCAGAUGUGCCAGCAUGGCAGUGAAGUCACAUUGGACCCUCUAGACCAGCCCACCCACAGUUGAUGCCACGGACAGUGGAAGAAUUUUCCAGCGAAGCCCUGCUCACAUCUCCCAACAGAGGGGGAGCACACAAGGUCAGCUGAGGUCAGCGACCAGGCAGGCUCAGGGGCUCCAAGACACUCACACAGGGUCUGACCUGAACAGAAGGGAAGGUCCAUUUAGGGUUGACUCUGGGGAUGCACCCAGACUGCUGCUUCCCACAGGGCUCCUGCGAGGGGGUUGGGGGUAGGUUGUUCACCACAGACUCACUUAUUAGGAGGCCAGGGACUGGCAGCUCCCUGCCCUGGGAGAAGCAGAUGAGGAGAAUGACUUAGCCUGGUGCUCUCCACACAGCCUGUAGAGUGGCCUCUGCCAGUCACUGUUGCCCCAAAUUGCAGACCUAAGCCCCGCCUCUCCUUCUCCUUAGUGCAGUGGAUGAAUGGGUGGGGUAGACUGCUGCAAGAGUCUCAAGGAGAGAUGCCCUGCGUGCUGCCGGGAGGGGUAUGGGCCUGCAGGUUUUUCUAGCGCUUUCCUCCAGCCGCUGGGAUGGUGUCAAAGCACUUGGAGGGAGGGGACCCUUCCGGGGAUCCAGAGACUUGCCCUUGUCUGUGCUGCUAAUUGGGGAGCGAGGUUUUUCCGACGAGGGGCUGUAAUUAGUUCAGCAUCCACGCCCUGGUCUCUCACUCCUCCUGAUGUCACCAUUUGCUCCCACAAAGAAGGGCCUCCCCUGGCGUCAGCCUGUGUUAGUUAAGCAUUCUCUCAGCUGGGGAGCAUGAAGCGCUGCCCCGUGCCAGGCCCUUCCCUGGUCCUGGAGGUGCCAAGAUGAACAGGGCCUGGCUGGGAGGGUAACUAGAGCCAGCUCCCCAUGGCUUCCAGACCACUGUGCGCCUCUUUCCAGCUCCAUGUUCCGUGACAUCUUGUGGGUAACCUGACACUGGCCACGGCGGGGUAUCCACCCCUGAGAGACGGGCAGACGCUGCAAGUCAGGCUUCUCCUGGCCUCCUCAGAACCAGCUCAGCCCAGGGCAAGGCUCCUUUCCUCAAAGAGCUCUGAAUCUCUAUGGGAGACACCGUGUCACCUCUGCACAGCCCACGUCAGGUCCUCAGUGCUGGGAACAAGAUGGGCCGUGUUUGCAGAGGAGUUGGGUUACCACAGACCCAGGGAUCUAUGCUUCUUUCCCACACAGUCCCAGUUGAAAUUCGAAAAUCGGGCAGGGAGCACCAAGGCUACACCCAGUGAGACGGCAGUCCCAGCAUGUGGCUGUUUAAAUUAAAAUUAACUGGCAUUGAGUGAGA
Callithrix jacchus (white-tufted-ear marmoset) is the source of this 4632-nucleotide long non-coding RNA. RefSeq lists it as uncharacterized. NCBI's taxonomy places the organism in Eukaryota, Metazoa, Chordata, Mammalia, Primates, Cebidae. The record is from RefSeq and is a predicted model, not a curated record.